CCCUUAGAUGUUCUGGGCCGCACGCGCGCUACACUGAUGCGUUCAACGAGUAUAAAACCUUGAUCGAUAGGUCUGGGUAAUCUUGUGAAUGCGCAUCGUGCUAGGGAUAGACUGUUGCAAUUUUCAGUCUUGAACGAGGAAUUCCUAGUAAACGCAAGUCAUCAGCUUGCAUUGAUUACGUCCCUGCCCUUUGUACACACCGCCCGUCGCACCUACCGAUUGAAUGACUCGGUGAAAAAUUGGGACCGUGAGUCCGCUUGCUUCAUUGCGAGUGGAUUGAUGGGAACUUUUUUAAACCUCGCCAUUUAGAGGAAGGUGAAGUCGUAACAAGGUUUCCGUAGGUGAACCUGCGGAAGGAUCAUUA
This 364-nucleotide ribosomal RNA is filed under the name Pseudoperonospora cubensis. Its description in RNAcentral is "SSU rRNA". It matches the Rfam family "Eukaryotic small subunit ribosomal RNA", at positions 1470 to 1831 of the family's 1831-position model. The record is from RNAcentral. Lineage: Eukaryota; Oomycota; Peronosporomycetes; Peronosporales; Peronosporaceae.